Molecule: long non-coding RNA, 370 nt
Organism: Passer montanus (Eurasian tree sparrow)
Lineage: Eukaryota; Metazoa; Chordata; Aves; Passeriformes; Passeridae
Exons: 3
Source: RefSeq, a predicted model, not a curated record
CAGCUGUACUCGGAGCUGCUGCUGCAGGCGGGCCCCGCGCUGCGGGCGCUCCCCGAGUUCCAGGAGGUUUUUUGCUGUACUCGGAGCUGCUGCUGCAGGGCGGCCCCGCGCUCCAGGCUCUCCCCGAGUUCCAGGAGCUGCGCGAGCUGGGCCGGCGCCUCUCGCUCUUCUUCAGCCUCCAGCGGCCGCGCGGCCGCAGCGCGCUGCUGCUGCUGCACAGCGAGGGGAUCCAGUUCUCGCUGCAGGCGCUGCCGGAGCCGCCGGGGGGAAUCCCGGGAAUUCCGGGAAUUCCGGGGGGGCUCCCCCUGCACCUGCCCUUCCUGGAGGUGCUCAGCGAGUUCUCGCCGCGCCUGCUGCGCCCCGACCGCGC